Long non-coding RNA from Symphalangus syndactylus (siamang), 2350 nucleotides. RefSeq lists it as uncharacterized. The record is from RefSeq and is a predicted model, not a curated record. Lineage: Eukaryota; Metazoa; Chordata; Mammalia; Primates; Hylobatidae.
GAAGCUGGAGCAAGCGCCGCCUCUCUAGCAACUGUGGGCAAACGCGGGACCCUCUCCUGGGUACGACCUCCAAGAGUACCCGGGCCUCGCUGAUGCCCGACGGAGAGCCCUUGGCUUUUGUUGACUUGUUGACCUUUGCUACUGCGAUCUGGUUUUUCUGCGGGGAUAAAGUUCCUCAUUCUGUUGCUCGUCAUUGGGGUUACCAUCACUCGUUCAGACGGCCGAUUGGCUGAUGGUCCCCUCAAUCUCCGGGGAAAUGACUAGCCUCAGACACCUCAGAAAAUUGUUCCUUGGUGCCCCUUCGUGCUGAAAUGAAGAGUUCUGGAGAGAAUCUGAGGGAUUUGAGGAAUUUCAGAUGUUGGGGAUUUUUUCCCCCGCACAGGCAAUGAUUUUUUGUGUGAGGCUGAAACUGUUGGAGGCUUCCUGCGACCAUUCUUGAGAAUGGAGCGACCACAUAGGGGUGAGCAGAACCAAGAGAAUCUCAGGGAAAUGGAGCCACAUCAACUGAGUUAGGUCACCCCUAACUUCAACCCACACUUAAAAGUGUUAGAGAAGAUUCUACGAAGAGAGCAGACUCUUCUAGUACCUUUCAAUUCUCACCAUGUCUACUCUUCCAUAUUACUGUUACUGUGCAACUAGAAACUCAUCUGGCCUUGGAGGAGAAAGAACAGCAUCACUGAAAUGCUUGCAUCAGGCAUUGGGGAUGGGGGUACAGCAUGUAAUUACAAAGGAUCAAUAAGGGAGAAUUGAUAUAAAUAUAACUGAUAUAGUAUAUCAGUUUAAACAUGUAUUGACUCCAACAACGACAUGUAUUAAGAUAUGAAUUUCUGGUGCCCAAAGGCAUGUGGCCAAAUUCAGUUAAAAGGAGGUCUUACAGCACUAGUAUGUGGCCAGGAAUCCACGAAUGUUCGGAAUCUUGCCUCAUCAGCACCCCUUUCCUGCCUCAGAAGAAAGAAUAAGGCUGAUUACAUUGAUGACUAAUGCAGUUGCCUCGAGAGUUAUGAAUUCUCCAGAGACUGCCUCCAGAAUCUCAGCGCUUGUAAAGCCCUUCCAGGUGGGGCUGCCAUCCUCGUCAACCCUGUGAUACUUGUAGCACUCAGCCAACUCUCUCUUCUCACUGUCACAACUUCAGGAAACACUUUGAUCUUAAAUAUGCACUUGCUGAUAUAUAGUGAAUUCAAGCUUCAUCUUUAUUGCAGGACGACGGUAGUAUCUCCUCCCAAAGGCAUUUAUAAAACAGGAGACACAUGAGUUAAUUUGGAAGAGGUGGAAGGAAGUUCAGGAUUUCCUGACAUCCCUUCCAUGUUCUUCCUCCCAAGCAUAGUUCUGGUUGGUACCAUUUACUUUGGAAAAAUGGAAUAAGUCAUUAUGCUUCACUUAUUGAACUAAAACUUGAAAUUACAAUUUAUGAACCACCCUAGAAGCUGGAUCCAUUUGCAACAUGUACUUGAAUAAGGUUUUAAAAGUAACUGGGGCCGGGCGCAGUGGCUCAUGCCUGUAAUUCCAGGACUUGGGAAGGUCAAGGUGGGUGGAUCACCUGAGGUCAGGAGUUCAAGACCAGCCUGGCCAACAUGGUGAAACCCCAUCUCUACUAAAUAUACAAAAUUAGCCAGUCAUGGUGGUGCACACCUGUAGUCUCAGCCACUUGGGAGGCUGAGGCAGGAGAAUCACUUGAACCCAGGAGACAGAGGUUGCAGUGAUCCAAGAUCAUACCACUGCUCUCCAGCCUGGGUGAGACAGUCAGACGCCAUCCCAAAAAUAAAUAAUAAAAAUAAAUUUUAAAAAAUAAAAGUACUGGAUGCGAGGGUAAUAGGGAUUUCAAAAGUAUAGAAAGAUACUUUUCAUUGACUAUGUCCAAACCAUGCAGCAAAUCUUGACAUUGCAUUGACAUUUCAAAUAUUCAGUUAACCUUGAAGACUAUUCCCUUUAUCUUAUUUGUGCUUGCUUUUAUUAAUAAUCUAAUAAUUAUGUGGGUAGCCACUUACAACAGAGUGAUGGCCAAGCCUAAUUAGAUGAGUGUGUUUGAAAUGUGAUCUUAACAUUUAGAAGAACAGCAAGGAGAUGUGUUGUUUCAAGCUGUUAAAUGCUAAAAUAUGUGAAGUACUGAACAUCUUGUUUUGUAUUUUUUUCUUCUUAUGAAAACUGUCCUUUUAUAAAUAAAUGUCAAUUUGUACCAAAAGCCUAAAAUAUGUCAUACCCAAUGAUUCAGCUAUUCCAGGUUUGAUUAUAUGCUUGAAAAAAUAGAAUCACAUACUUGUUUAAAUAUGACUGUACAAAAGUGUUUAACAUAGCAUUAUUUAUUGCUUAAAAUUUUAGAAUCAAUUUAAAUAAAUCAUGAAAUGUCCUCGAA